UGCUUGGCGGCGAUAGCGCGGUGGUCCCACCUGACCCCAUGCCGAACUCAGAAGUGAAACGCCGUAGCGCCGAUGGUAGUGUGGGGUCUCCCCAUGCGAGAGUAGGGAACUGCCAAGCAU
Molecule: ribosomal RNA, 120 nt
Filed under: Edwardsiella anguillarum ET080813
Lineage: Bacteria; Pseudomonadati; Pseudomonadota; Gammaproteobacteria; Enterobacterales; Hafniaceae
Also listed under: 1 other name
Source: RNAcentral